CCUCCUUCAACGAUUUCGGGAUUUGAGAUGCGAGGUGUUCCCUGGGCUGGAUGGGAACUAGAGACUAGAAAACAAGAGGCAUGGGAUCUCAUCUCUGCAGACGCUUCUCAAAAUUGUCCAAUAAUUGUGGUAUAUCAUUUUCUUUUCUUACCUUUGCUACCAAAAAAUAUUCAGCUGACCCACACACCUCCACUCCUUCCCUGCCCUCGCAGGCCUCCACCUUGCGACCAUCAGGUGCAUCAGCCCCAUCCGGUCGGCCUGUGUGUUUCGCGCCGAUGGCUUGGAAGAUGAAAACGUGUAGGAGCAGAAGUAGUGCAAGGAAGACGCCACGGUGAGCAGAAGCAGUGCAAGGAAGACGCGGACGUGUGGGAGCAGAAGCGGGCUAUGCUCUGUGCUUCGCCGCUGCACUCACGUGCACCAUUACCGAGCAAUGGAGAACCAAAGGUUCCCAUCAAGGCCUUCACUUUCAGGAGGAAUACCGGACAGCGGCGAGGAGCGCGGCCACUUGGUCGACCAUUGGAGCAUUGCAAUUCGGUUCAUGGCAGAAUGCUCCUAGAGCUUUUUUCUCAUCUGCACCGCUACCGUGAACCCCUCCAGACAGUGUUGCCUUCUUUCCCACCCUGACAGCUUCCUCUAAUGGCAGAAUGCCAUGUUUGGUCUCGCUGGACUGGGAACAAAAGCUUCUUGCCAAGGUUACUUUGGCAGGUCCAUGGCCGGAUCUUAAGCUAGAAGCUUUGUGCAGUUUUCUUGAUGUAUAUCUGUGAUUAUGUGCUUAAGAAGAACUUGCAGGCUCAUCUCU
This is a long non-coding RNA of Lolium rigidum, 799 nucleotides long. RefSeq lists it as uncharacterized. The record is from RefSeq and is a predicted model, not a curated record. The transcript has 5 exons. Lineage: Eukaryota; Viridiplantae; Streptophyta; Magnoliopsida; Poales; Poaceae.